Molecule: non-coding RNA, 245 nt
Filed under: Streptomyces colonosanans
Lineage: Bacteria; Bacillati; Actinomycetota; Actinomycetes; Kitasatosporales; Streptomycetaceae
Description: Streptomyces sp. MUSC 93 Streptomyces sRNA 4677
Rfam family: Streptomyces sRNA 4677
About the family: Located in the intergenic region between anti-sigma factor SCO4677 gene and a putative regulatory protein gene SCO4676. scr4677 expression requires the SCO4677 activity and scr4677 sRNA itself seem to affect the levels of the SCO4676-associated transcripts.
Source: Rfam by way of RNAcentral
GGAUUCGGUGCCGCAGGCGAUCCCCGUCCAAGGAACCAGAGGGAGAAAGAACCGCACCAAGCCCCACCCCUCCCGCCCGUCGUUCGCACUCACUCGCGCGAGUGAACAUCGCCGGUUCGGCUGGAUCGGUGGUCCCCCAACUCCCCUACGCUCAGCGCAAACAACCGCAAACAUGCAUCGGCCCCCGGCCGGGAGUAGCAAUCCCGAUCGAGGGCCUGGCCACCGAGGAAGAAGAGAGCUUCCCG